Molecule: long non-coding RNA, 1410 nt
Filed under: Mus spicilegus (steppe mouse)
Lineage: Eukaryota; Metazoa; Chordata; Mammalia; Rodentia; Muridae
Description: lncRNA (ENSMSIG00000015160.1)
Source: RNAcentral
CGGGGGCAGAGCGCCUGUCAGAAGCGAGCAUGUGCAGUUUGCACCGCAUCCGUACUAUGGGUGAGUGCGGCCGCCGCCGCUUGGGGCUGGGUUCGGUGGGGCAGCAGCGGCUGCAGCUCCCCGGGCCCCGCGCCGCCCCGGCGGCCGCGGACACUGGAUGCGGGAAUAGUCGCGGGCGGGUGGCGUGGGGGAGGCUCGUCCGGUCACUCGGCGCGGGGGGAGCCGGAGCGCCGGGCGUGGGGGCAGGGAACAGGCGGCGCAGGAGAGCGCCCCGAGUCCCGGCGCGGAGGAGGAGCGGGAGCCAGCCCGUGAGACCGCGCUCCUGGCCGCACCUGCGUCGGGCAGACGGCCGCCCGACCCUGCCUUGCCUUGCCCUACCCUCGUCCCCGGCCCCGCACCGAGACACAUGAAAGCCAUCCUUCAACCAGUCAAGAAUUAACUGAGCACUGGGGUGAAUGCUUGUCUACAUUGCUGAGAAUGGCGUCAAGGUCCAGUCUGAUACCAAGACGAGGUUAAAUUGGGACAGAGCUGCACAGUGAUCCUGAUGUCUGUUCCCAGCUACGCAGUCAAGACCGUGAUAAGUGAGUAUGCCCCAGACAUGUAGGGGAAUCACUGGCCCAGUCUGCCUUCCUAUUUGGCAUUUUAUCAGCACGGGUACAGGUCUAAGGGUUCAAGUUCUCAGCUUGCUUCCUGUCCAAGGGCUUGUCACAGGAAUGGGAGGUGAGCACUGAGCAGUCUCAGGCUAUGCCACUAUUGGAGCCAUCUUAUGACUUCUAAGACUUGGCCAGACCCAGAUUGGAUGACCAGGAUAAAAACUAGACACCUGGGAGAGUGUGUCUUCAUGUUCUGACUCAAGAAGCUCCUGGGUGCUUUCCAUCCAAGUAGUGGGGGCUAUGUCUUACCUAGAAUCCGAAUUCUGCCCCAUACUAUGAACAGUUAAUGUACUGGCCCUCAAGGAGUUGGGCUCCUAAGUCCAGACAAACCACACAGGGUGAAAGGUCUUGACUGCAGAGCAUGGUGUUCUUAUCUGGCCUCUAGCCCAGUCUCUGCCUCUCUGGCUUUUCUUUGAUGAUACUUUAAAGAAUGGCAAUUGGAUGCUUUCCCUAACCCCUGAGGCCCAAAGACCAUUACGUCAGUGCAGAGCAGGCAACACAAUGGUGGUAUUGGGGAUCAGAAAGAAGGAAGCUCCAGAAAGUCAGGGUAGGUAGUUGGCACGUAGGCUGUUUUGGCACUGAGACCAGCUUGAUUGGAUAGCCUCUAAGAAGCCCAUAGGCUGGUCCCUUGGAGCCCAGAGCUGAUUCCAUACUGGUAUAUGCAGAGAUUGGGAAACAAGGUAACUGGGUUAUUUCUCAGCUGUAGAUAGAUUUUGACUCUCCUAGCUGAGGUCAGAAUCUAUUUACCAGUUCACUU